RNAcentral lists this ribosomal RNA (1493 nucleotides) under metagenome. RNAcentral describes it as "bacterial SSU rRNA". It matches the Rfam family "Bacterial small subunit ribosomal RNA". The record is from RNAcentral.
AGAGUUUGAUCCUGGCUCAGGAUGAACGCUAGCUACAGGCUUAACACAUGCAAGUCGAGGGGAAACGAUAUUGGAAGCUUGCUUCCGAUAGGCGUCGACCGGCGCACGGGUGAGUAACGCGUAUCCAACCUGCCCACCACUUGGGGAUAACCUUGCGAAAGUAAGACUAAUACCCAAUGAUAUCUCUAGAAGACAUCUGAAAGAGAUUAAAGAUUUAUCGGUGAUGGAUGGGGAUGCGUCUGAUUAGCUUGUUGGCGGGGUAACGGCCCACCAAGGCAACGAUCAGUAGGGGUUCUGAGAGGAAGGUCCCCCACAUUGGAACUGAGACACGGUCCAAACUCCUACGGGAGGCAGCAGUGAGGAAUAUUGGUCAAUGGACGAGAGUCUGAACCAGCCAAGUAGCGUGCAGGAAGACGGCCCUAUGGGUUGUAAACUGCUUUUAUAAGGGAAUAAAGUGAGAGUCGUGACUCUUUUUGCAUGUACCUUAUGAAUAAGGACCGGCUAAUUCCGUGCCAGCAGCCGCGGUAAUACGGAAGGUCCGGGCGUUAUCCGGAUUUAUUGGGUUUAAAGGGAGCGUAGGCCGGAGAUUAAGCGUGUUGUGUAAUGUAGACGCUCAACGUCUGCACUGCAGCGCGAACUGGUUUCCUUGAGUACGCACAAAGUGGGCGGAGUUCGUGGUGUAGCGGUGAAAUGCUUAGAUAUCACGAAGAACUCCGAUUGCGAAGGCAGCUCACUGGAGCGCAACUGACGCUGAAGCUCGAAAGUGCGGGUAUCGAACAGGAUUAGAUACCCUGGUAGUCCGCACGGUAAACGAUGGAUGCCCGCUGUUGGUCUGAAUAGGUCAGCGGCCAAGCGAAAGCAUUAAGCAUCCCACCUGGGGAGUACGCCGGCAACGGUGAAACUCAAAGGAAUUGACGGGGGCCCGCACAAGCGGAGGAACAUGUGGUUUAAUUCGAUGACAACGCGAAGAACCUUACCAAGUCUUGACAUCCUGCGACGGUUCUGGAAACAGAACUUUCCUUCGGGACGCAGAGACAGGUGGUGCAUGGUUGUCGUCAGCUCGUGUCGUGAGAUGUUGGGUUAAGUCCCGCAACGAGCGCAACCCUUAUGGUCAGUUACUACGCAAGAGGACUCUGGCCAGACUGCCGUUGACAAAACGGAGGAAGGUGGGGAUGACGUCAAAUCAUCAUGCCCUUUAUGACUUGGGCUACACACGUACUACAAUGGCGUUAAACAAAGAGAAGCAAGACCGCGAGGUGGAGCAAAACUCAGAAACAACGUCCCAGUUCGGACUGCAGGCUGCAACUCGCCUGCACGAAGUCGGAAUUGCUAGUAAUCGCAGAUCAGCAUGCUGCGGUGAAUACGUUCCCGGGCCUUGUACACACCGCCCGUCACACCAUGAGAGCCGGGGGGACCCGAAGUCGGUAGUCUAACCGCAAGGAGGACGCCGCCGAAGGUAAAACUGGUGAUUGGGGUGAAGUCGAAACAAGGUA